Molecule: ribosomal RNA, 1413 nt
Filed under: Kocuria rosea
Lineage: Bacteria; Bacillati; Actinomycetota; Actinomycetes; Micrococcales; Micrococcaceae
Description: bacterial SSU rRNA
Rfam family: Bacterial small subunit ribosomal RNA
Source: RNAcentral
CAUGCAAGUCGAACGAUGAUGCCCAGCUUGCUGGGCGGAUUAGUGGCGAACGGGUGAGUAAUACGUGAGUAACCUGCCCUUGACUCUGGGAUAAGCCUGGGAAACUGGGUCUAAUACUGGAUACUACCUCUUGCCGCAUGGUGGGUGGUGGAAAGGGUUUUACUGGUUUUGGAUGGGCUCACGGCCUAUCAGCUUGUUGGUGGGGUAAUGGCUCACCAAGGCGACGACGGGUAGCCGGCCUGAGAGGGUGACCGGCCACACUGGGACUGAGACACGGCCCAGACUCCUACGGGAGGCAGCAGUGGGGAAUAUUGCACAAUGGGCGGAAGCCUGAUGCAGCGACGCCGCGUGAGGGAUGACGGCCUUCGGGUUGUAAACCUCUUUCAGUAGGGAAGAAGCGAGAGUGACGGUACCUGCAGAAGAAGCGCCGGCUAACUACGUGCCAGCAGCCGCGGUAAUACGUAGGGCGCAAGCGUUGUCCGGAAUUAUUGGGCGUAAAGAGCUCGUAGGCGGUUUGUCGCGUCUGCUGUGAAAGCCCGGGGCUCAACCCCGGGUCUGCAGUGGGUACGGGCAGACUAGAGUGCAGUAGGGGAGACUGGAAUUCCUGGUGUAGCGGUGAAAUGCGCAGAUAUCAGGAGGAACACCGAUGGCGAAGGCAGGUCUCUGGGCUGUUACUGACGCUGAGGAGCGAAAGCAUGGGGAGCGAACAGGAUUAGAUACCCUGGUAGUCCAUGCCGUAAACGUUGGGCACUAGGUGUGGGGGACAUUCCACGUUUUCCGCGCCGUAGCUAACGCAUUAAGUGCCCCGCCUGGGGAGUACGGCCGCAAGGCUAAAACUCAAAGGAAUUGACGGGGGCCCGCACAAGCGGCGGAGCAUGCGGAUUAAUUCGAUGCAACGCGAAGAACCUUACCAAGGCUUGACAUUCACCGGACCGCCCCAGAGAUGGGGUUUCCCUUCGGGGCUGGUGGACAGGUGGUGCAUGGUUGUCGUCAGCUCGUGUCGUGAGAUGUUGGGUUAAGUCCCGCAACGAGCGCAACCCUCGUUCUAUGUUGCCAGCACGUGAUGGUGGGGACUCAUAGGAGACUGCCGGGGUCAACUCGGAGGAAGGUGGGGAUGACGUCAAAUCAUCAUGCCCCUUAUGUCUUGGGCUUCACGCAUGCUACAAUGGCCGGUACAAAGGGUUGCGAUACUGUGAGGUGGAGCUAAUCCCAAAAAGCCGGUCUCAGUUCGGAUUGAGGUCUGCAACUCGACCUCAUGAAGUCGGAGUCGCUAGUAAUCGCAGAUCAGCAACGCUGCGGUGAAUACGUUCCCGGGCCUUGUACACACCGCCCGUCAAGUCACGAAAGUUGGUAACACCCGAAGCCGGUGGCCUAACCCCUUGUGGGAGGGAGCCGUCGAAGGUGGACGCGUCC